This 434-nucleotide ribosomal RNA is filed under the name uncultured bacterium. RNAcentral describes it as "partial 16S ribosomal RNA". It matches the Rfam family "Bacterial small subunit ribosomal RNA", at positions 29 to 507 of the family's 1533-position model. The record is from RNAcentral.
AGCGAACGCUGGCGGCAGGCCUAACACAUGCAAGUCGAACGAACCUUUCGGGGUUAGUGGCGGACGGGUGAGUAACACGUGGGAACGUGCCUUUAGGUUCGGAAUAACUCAGGGAAACUUGUGCUAAUACCGAAUGUGCCCUUCGGGGGAAAGAUUAAUCGCCUUUAGAGCGGCCCGCGUCUGAUUAGCUAGUUGGUUGAGGUAAUGGCUCACCAAGGCGAUGAUCAGUAGCUGGUCUGAGAGGAUGAUCAGCCACAUUGGGACUGAGACACGGCCCAAACUCCUACGGGAGGCAGCAGUGGGGAAUCUUGCGCAAUGGGCGAAAGCCUGACGCAGCCAUGCCGCGUGAAUGAUGAAGGUCUUAGGAUUGUAAAAUUCUUUCACCGGGGACGAUAAUGACGGUACCCGGAGAAGAAGCCCCGGCUAACUUCGUG